Molecule: ribosomal RNA, 340 nt
Filed under: Desmodus rotundus (common vampire bat)
Lineage: Eukaryota; Metazoa; Chordata; Mammalia; Chiroptera; Phyllostomidae
Description: partial 12S ribosomal RNA
Rfam family: Bacterial small subunit ribosomal RNA
Source: RNAcentral
AACCCCAGUUAACAGACAUACGGCGUAAAGCGUGUUUAAGGGAAUCCCACAAAUAAAGCCAAACCCUGGCUACGCCGUAAAAAGCCCUAGCUACUGUAAGCCCCCUCACGAAAGUGGCUUUAAAAUGCCCAAAGACACGACAGCUAAGGCUCAAACUGGGAUUAGAUACCCCACUAUGCUUAGCCCUAAACCUGCAGAAUUCUACAUAACAAAAUUCUUCGCCAGAGUACUACGAGCCACCGCUUAAAACUCAAAGGACUUGGCGGUGCUUCACAUCCACCUAGAGGAGCCUGCUCUAUAAUCGAUAAACCUCGAUAAACCCCACCAACCCUUGCCACCC